UUUUUUUUAUUUCCAAGAGAAACGAAGAAUUCGUACGAGUUUUACAAACCGGACGAUUUACUAACUUACUUAAGGAGCGUGAAGAUCUGGCCGGGCGUAGAUCUCUUGGUGUCUUUGUACAUACGUUCAACUUUUCCAUAUUGGAAGCAGAUAGAAGAUUGCGAACAGAACAGUAAUUUUGGAAAUCAAACUCCAUUCUGAGUUUGGCAAUCAAACACCAUUGUGAUGCCUUCUAAAGAUGCGGAAUCCUCCUAAGCUUAAAGUCAUAUUUGAAUAGUUCAAUCUCGAUACAAACAAAUUUUUUUAUACACAUCUUAUUUUAGAACACCUAACUUACAAAAUUUACGUAGAAUAUGGGAAUUGGAAAUUAAUAAAAGUGCAUUCUCAAUUGGAAAAUAUGUUUUCCCAAAUAUUUUGAUAUGUAAUAUGUUGAAUACAAUAUAAGCCUCUAACAAGUAUAGCCUAACACUGUAGAUGAAAAUGAAUAAAU
Teleopsis dalmanni is the source of this 490-nucleotide long non-coding RNA. RefSeq lists it as uncharacterized. The transcript is spliced from 3 exons. The record is from RefSeq and is a predicted model, not a curated record. NCBI's taxonomy places the organism in Eukaryota, Metazoa, Arthropoda, Insecta, Diptera, Diopsidae.